UUACCUACGGGGGGCAGCAGUGAGGAAUAUUGGUCAAUGGGCGAAAGCCUGAACCAGCCAAGUCGCGUGAGGGAUUAAGGCCCUAUGGGUCGUAAACCUCUUUUGUCAGGGAGCAAGACCUUUCACGUGUGGGAGGUUGGAGAGUACCUGAAGAAAAAGCAUCGGCUAACUCCGUGCCAGCAGCCGCGGUAAUACGGAGGAUGCGAGCGUUAUCCGGAUUUAUUGGGUUUAAAGGGUGCGCAGGCGGAAGAUCAAGUCAGCGGUAAAAUUGAGAGGCUCAACCUCUUCGAGCCGUUGAAACUGGU
This 305-nucleotide ribosomal RNA is filed under the name uncultured bacterium. Its description in RNAcentral is "bacterial SSU rRNA". It matches the Rfam family "Bacterial small subunit ribosomal RNA", at positions 335 to 637 of the family's 1533-position model. The record is from RNAcentral.